This 525-nucleotide ribosomal RNA is filed under the name Polyporales sp. 4 SR-2012. Its description in RNAcentral is "eukaryotic LSU rRNA". The stretch from base 228 to 381 matches the Rfam family "5.8S ribosomal RNA". Lineage: Eukaryota; Fungi; Basidiomycota; Agaricomycetes; Polyporales. The record is from RNAcentral.
CCGUAGGUGAACCUGCGGAAGGAUCAUUAUCGAGUUUUGACUGGGUUGUAGCUGGCCUUCCGAGGCAUGUGCACGCCCUGCUCAUCCACUCUACACCUGUGCACUUACUGUGGGUUUCAGAUGCCGUUAGCGGGCCUUCGCGGGGUCGUGAAAGCGUCUGGGCCUGCGUUUAUUACAAACUCUUAUCAGUAUCAGAAUGUGUAUUGCGAUGUAACGCAUCUAUAUACAACUUUCAGCAACGGAUCUCUUGGCUCUCGCAUCGAUGAAGAACGCAGCGAAAUGCGAUAAGUAAUGUGAAUUGCAGAAUUCAGUGAAUCAUCGAAUCUUUGAACGCACCUUGCGCUCCUUGGUAUUCCGAGGAGCAUGCCUGUUUGAGUGUCAUGAAAUCUUCAACCUAUAAACCUUUGCGGGUUUAUUAGGCUUGGACUUGGAGGCUUGUCGGCCCAGCUGGUGUCGGCUCCUCUCAAAUGCAUUAGCUUGAUUCCUUGCGGAUCGGCUCUCGGUGUGAUAAUUGUCUACGCCGUG